Molecule: ribosomal RNA, 770 nt
Filed under: uncultured bacterium
Lineage: Bacteria
Description: bacterial SSU rRNA
Rfam family: Bacterial small subunit ribosomal RNA
Source: RNAcentral
UAGAGUUUGAUCAUGGCUCAGGACGAACGCUGGCGGCGUGCCUAAUACAUGCAAGUUGAGCGCUGAAGGUUGGUACUUGUACCAACUGGAUGAGCAGCGAACGGGUGAGUAACGCGUGGGGAAUCUGCCUUUGAGCGGGGGACAACAUUUGGAAACGAAUGCUAAUACCGCAUAAAAAUUUUAAACACAAGUUUUAAGUUUGAAAGAUGCAAUUGCAUCACUCAAAGAUGAUCCCGCGUUGUAUUAGCUAGUUGGUGAGGUAAAGGCUCACCAAGGCGAUGAUACAUAGCCGACCUGAGAGGGUGAUCGGCCACAUUGGGACUGAGACACGGCCCAAACUCCUACGGGAGGCAGCAGUAGGGAAUCUUCGGCAAUGGACGAAAGUCUGACCGAGCAACGCCGCGUGAGUGAAGAAGGUUUUCGGAUCGUAAAACUCUGUUGGUAGAGAAGAACGUUGGUGAGAGUGGAAAGCUCAUCAAGUGACGGUAACUACCCAGAAAGGGACGGCUAACUACGUGCCAGCAGCCGCGGUAAUACGUAGGUCCCGAGCGUUGUCCGGAUUUAUUGGGCGUAAAGCGAGCGCAGGUGGUUUAUUAAGUCUGGUGUAAAAGGCAGUGGCUCAACCAUUGUAUGCAUUGGAAACUGGUAGACUUGAGUGCAGGAGAGGAGAGUGGAAUUCCAUGUGUAGCGGUGAAGUGCGUAGAUAUAUGGAGGAACACCGGUGGCGAAAGCGGCUCUCUGGCCUGUAACUGACACUGAGGCUCGAAAGC